UCUUUCUUUGCUGGCGACCGGCGCACGGGUGAGUAACACGUAUCCAACCUGCCCUUUACUCGGGGAUAGCCUUUCGAAAGGAAGAUUAAUACCCGAUAGUAUAAUGAUUCCGCAUGGUUUCAUUAUUAAAGGAUUCCGGUAAAGGAUGGGGAUGCGUUCCAUUAGGUUGUUGGUGAGGUAACGGCUCACCAAGCCUUCGAUGGAUAGGGGUUCUGAGAGGAAGGUCCCCCACAUUGGAACUGAGACACGGUCCAA
RNAcentral lists this ribosomal RNA (255 nucleotides) under uncultured bacterium. RNAcentral describes it as "partial 16S ribosomal RNA". It matches the Rfam family "Bacterial small subunit ribosomal RNA", at positions 78 to 334 of the family's 1533-position model. The record is from RNAcentral.